Molecule: ribosomal RNA, 233 nt
Filed under: uncultured bacterium
Lineage: Bacteria
Description: partial 16S ribosomal RNA
Rfam family: Bacterial small subunit ribosomal RNA
Source: RNAcentral
ACGGGUGAGUAACACGUGGUCAACCUUCCCUACAGUGGGGAUAACUAGCCGAAAGGUUAGCUAAUACCGCAUAACAUCUACGAGUGGCAUCAUUUGUAGAUCAAAGGAGCAAUCCGCUGAAGGACGGGACCGCGUCCCAUUAGUUAGUUGGUGGGGUAACGGCCUACCAAGACUCCGAUGGGUAGCUGGUUUGAGAGAGCGACCAGCCACACUGGGACUGAGAAACGGCCCAG